This 388-nucleotide ribosomal RNA is filed under the name uncultured crenarchaeote. RNAcentral's name for it is "bacterial SSU rRNA". It matches the Rfam family "Archaeal small subunit ribosomal RNA", at positions 68 to 441 of the family's 1478-position model. Lineage: Archaea; Thermoproteati; Thermoproteota. The record is from RNAcentral.
GCCGUUUGUUUUUCGCAACGGCCCGGUAACCCGUAGUCACCCACCCCCGGAGACCCGGACAACCCCGGGAAACUGGGAUUAAUCCCUGAUAGGUCCUCUCAUGUGGAAGGAGAGAUGGCUUAAAGGGGUACGCGGGCUUCUUCCGUGCAUCUGCUCCAGGAUGGGACUGCGUCCGAUCAGGCUGUUGGCGGGGUAAUGGCCCACCAAACCUGUAACCGGUACGGGCCUUGAGAGAGGGGGCCCGGAGAUGGACACUGAGAGAAGGGUCCAGGUCCUACGGGGCGCAGCAGGCGCGCACCCUUCGCAAUGCGCGAAAGCGGACGAGGCUAAUACGAGUGGCUCCCGCUGAGGGGCCUAGGUCAGCUGUAAAAAGGCAGGCGAAUAACGU